Molecule: long non-coding RNA, 9454 nt
Filed under: Malus domestica (apple)
Lineage: Eukaryota; Viridiplantae; Streptophyta; Magnoliopsida; Rosales; Rosaceae
Description: long non-coding RNA (MDOM_LNC011507)
Source: RNAcentral
UUUGUCCAAUCUGUCAGAACACCGUCGAAUUCCUCGUAGUCACCACACCUUUGUGAUUCCUGAACCUGGAGGGGCGCAAAACCAAAAUUGAGUGGGUCAGUAAAACAAUUCUUUUUCCAAAUCCAAACAUUUCUCAAAACGUUGUAACCCCUCUCCGUAAAACCUGUAUACUUUCCCAGAAAUGUAAAAUAUAAAUAUACAUAUAUAUUCUCAAGACUUCAAGUCGUUAACUCAACAUUUUCAUAACAAUUAUGCCAUGCCACAUCAUCUCAACAGUAAUAAGGUAUGAAUGCAUCAACAUAAUCAUAUCAGGUGCAAGAAAGUAAUCAACCGUAGGCCCUCUAAUAGCCCUGUACGGUUGAACCUAGAGCUCAAAAUCUAUCAUUAUCACUCUACCGGAGUCACCUCUGUGACCCGUCCGGCCUUCUGCACACAAGUUACGCUCUAGUGCUUCUCAUAAAUCAUCUGUGCACAUAAUCUAAGGUCACCCACCAGUCGGAAUCUCACUAACACUCUCGCGACUGGUCUGUCGUACCCACUCCGCGUGGACUGUACGACUAGCAUCUACUUGGAUCCAAGGCGAGCGUGCGAUGUGGUGAAUACUAUAAGCACUAAACCAUGGUGCAGGAUUUGAGCUCAAUAUAUAUCAUCAUCAUCAUAACAGUAAUUAAAUACUCAUCUGUGCGUCCACCGCACCAUUUCAUACAUAUGCAUCAUAAAUCAAUUCUUACCUGUGCGUCCACCGCACCAAUUCAUACAUAUGCAUCAUAAAUCAAUUCUUACCUGUGCGUCCACCGCACCAAUUCAUACAUAUGCAUCAUAAAUCAAUUCUUACAUGUGCGUCCACCGCACCAAUUCAUACAUAUGCAUCAUAUAUUAAUUCAUGCAUGGCAUUUCAACUCACAUUUCUAUAUACUUUUCAUAUCAAUUCUAUGCAUGGUAUUUCACUUCCCGUUUUUCCACAUAACUCAUAUGCAUUUCAUUUUAAACAUAUUUUCAUUUCAAUUCAAUUUCUGGGAAACGUCAAGUAUAUAUAUAUACGGAAAACAAAACUGCCCACUCACCUGGAGUUCGUCCAACAACUCCCUAGCACCACACAUCAAGGCGUCAUGACGAUCGCCGCCUAGAAUAGUAAUAGUAAUCAAAUCCAGGCUCAGAAUUCAUAUCGAUAGAAUACAUAACUUAUAUAAAAUACGUCACUACGUUGAUCGAUCCGGAAGAUCUGCCACUCAGAUUUUAAAUCCAUAACUUCCAGAGGUCCACAUUAUACCUCUAGGACAACAUCCUAAAAUUUCAUUACCAUCCAACGGUCGGAUCUCCGUCAAUUUCCAAAACUAAGUGACGGUUAACAUUUUAUAUUAUGGACUUACAAUUCCAAUUCCGGAAGAUCCGUAACUCGGAUUCCCAAUCCGUAAGUUCCAAUAAUCCUCAAAUAUUACGUAUUACAACGUAUCAAAUUUUGGUGACGAUCCAACGGUCGGAUCAUCAAUUCACAUUUUCACCUAAAUGUGAAAACUAUAAAACGUUAUUUGAACACCUAACCAACAAUCCUCAAUAACUUUCUCAUACGGUGUUCAAUUUAGGUAUAUGAAUAUACCACAGUGAUCUACUCGACGUCACGGACGUCGACAUAUUUUUAAAAUAAUUUUAUUUUUAUUUUUUAUUUUUACUGUAGCACCUUCUUCUUCCUUGGGUCGCCGGACUGGUUUUUCCGGCGGCCGUUUUCCGGGCAGUUUUUCAAAUUGCCAUAACUUUGUCAUUUCUCAACGAAAUCAAGUGAUUCAAAAACGAAAGUUGUAGCCCUUGAAGAGAAAAAGAGAAUGGUACCUUGCACAACACCUAGUUCGCCGUGGUUUGGCCGGAAACUUCCUCGAAAGCCUCGGAGGUCGCCGGAAACUGGGUAUUUUUCAAAUGAGUAUAACUUCUUCAAUACUCAACGAAAUUGAGUGAAACAAAAAGGAAAGUUGUAGUACUUGACGAGACGAAGAGAUUGAUACCUACCUCGACUCCUAACUCGCCGGGUAUUCGCCGGAAAACGCCUCGAAAGCUCCGGCCAAACUUUGAACUUGUCGAUCUCCGUGUUCUUACGUCCAAAAACUUCCAACGAAGCACUCCGAGCUUCCUUGGGACCUUACUAAACUCGCUGUGAUCUUGUUUUAGCCUAAAACGUAACCAAUUCAAAGCUCAUGAACAGUGUCAUCUCACGGCAACUUUAGAACUAGGGUUUUCGAAGUGAAACUCACCUGAAAUUGGUAUCCCCGUGCUCGUGAAGUCCCCAGGAUCACGAUGGUGGUCUUAAAUGGAACGUUGGUACAAGAUUGUGGUGGUUCUUGGUGGUUGCCGUGAGUUCGAGAGUAAGAGAGAGAAUGAGAGAGUUUCAGAAAAGAAUAAGAGAGAGAGAGAGUCUGGAAUGAAAGAAGAAGAGAGAAGAAAGGUUACGGGUUUUAGGGAGGGAAUUCAGGGUAGGAGGCCCUACCUAAGUCCAAGCACAAAUUAACACAUACAAAUAUAAAUCUAACCCUAGUUUAGGAUCUUAAAGUAAAACAAAUGUCAUACAUUUACACACCUUAAUCCCGUUUAAGGUCACAUUGGUCAUCUCACGUCCUCGGAAUUAAUAAUUCCGGGACGGGCUGUGACAAUCUCCCCUCCUUAUAGAAUUUCGUCCCCGAAAUUCCAAUCACCAACCAGAACAUCAAAACUCAUAAAAUAGUCUCGGAUACAUAACUCUCAUCCGUUCUUCUGUCUCCCAUGUAAUUUUCUACUGAAUGAUUUCCUUCACAAAGCUUUUACUACUUACUCUGUCUUAAUUCUUAGGACCUUCUUUUUCCAAUCCAAAGUCGACAUUAGUUCCUCACCAAUCAGAUCCGGCUUAAUUCUCAAUAGUUGCACCAAAGUCCCAUGUAACGACUCUGCCACUUAGUGACAACGCAUCGAACACAAAAUACAUUAUGUGCCUUAGCCAAUUCUGAAGGCAUCACAAACUUGUAUGCAAGUUUAUUGAUUCCUUUAGUGAAAAAAAAAAAUGGUCUGAUGUGUCUAAAUCUUAUCUUGUCUCUUUUCCAAUUCUCGUCAUUUCUGUUCGCGGUGAAUUUUCCAAAAAUAUCAAACCAUUUACCUUACACACUCGAUUAGUGGCAUAUCCAUCUGUUGAUCUCUUUUUGCCAUUCCUGGUUACUUCAGGUUAACUUAAUCACCUGAAUACUUUGAGGAGACUCAUCCAUAGUCUCAGGGUCUACUAAAACUCUUUCUUGAUCGAAUCUUUCUCUACCCAGAAACAUUCCAUUCACAAGUCAUCAAAAACCGACUCACGUGACACAUUUCAUGGUCCUUAUGGCGUUACUUCGGAAACUGCACAACCAACAUACUUAAGAAACUUAGCAGUUCCGUAAUCCAAUUCUCUUUUCCAUAAAACAAAUUAGUAAUGUUGCACUGUCUGGGAAAGGUUGUUACUCAACACUGGAGUAAAUGUACUAACUUGUUACUUAACAAGUAUAACUUCUUCUCGAUCUUCCAUUCUUAACUUUACUUUAGUUGGUUUCCAAUCCACAAGAAGAUAAUCUUGGCAAACGUGCCAGACAUUAAUCUUACUGUAGUCUUCUCGCCAAGUGCUUGAGCUAGAACAAACUUUACGAUCACCCUGAUCGUACAAUCAUGUUCAUUAAACAAUACAAUUCACUUUCGCUGCCUCAUAUCAAAUUCCUUCCAAGUAAUGGAUAUUGAAGACUUUUUGGAUUCGUAAAAAAAAAUCUUGCAUUCCCACUAAAAUAUAAUGUCUCCAUAACUUCACAGCACGAAUGGUAAUCGUGACUUCCAAAUCACCAGUAGGGUAAUUCAUCUUAUGAGAUUCCAUUUAUCGUGAAACGUAUGCAAUCACCCUAACAUUUGCAUCAACAUGCAUCCAAUACCAUUCAAGAAACAUCACUAAAAAUUUAUGAUUACCAUUAUUCUCUGGGAUUACCAAAAUACGUGCAUGAGUGAGGAAAUACUUCAGUUGUUGAAUCCUUUGCUUACAAUUCCUUCCCACUCAUACCUAACCUCUUUUCUCAACAGUCUCGUCAAUGACAAAGCAAUGACUGAAAAAUCUUUCACAACCAUCCAAGAUAGCCUGGUAAGCUAAGAAAUUCCAAAUCUCAAUUACGACUCGUGGUUGUUCCAAAUUUUAAUUUCUGUUACCUUUUAAGGAUUCACUUGAAUACCUUAAGAAUAUAUAACAUAUCCCAGAAAUGCUGCUUGAUUCAUCCAACAUUCGCAUUUGCUAAACUUAGCAUACAACCAACGUUCUCUUAAUCUUUGCUUCACCGACUUAAUACGUUUACAUGCUCUGCUCUAGGCUUAGAGUAUACCAGAAUAUCUUCAAUGAAAAUGAUAUCUAUUUAUCAAGGCAUUAUUGGAAUACUUCAUCCAAUAACUCAUAAAACAGCAUGAGUAUCCAUAUAGCAUCACCAAACUUCAUAAAGACUAUAACGAGUCCAGAAAACCAUCUUAUGAUCAAUGUCACUUAUAAUAUUCAAUUGGUAGUAACCAGAUCUCAAUUCAAUCUUUGAAUCUUCGCAAUUACUUCUGAGCUGGUUAAAUAAACAUCAGUACAUCACCAUGGAUAACGGUUCUCAAUCGUUACCCGACUCCAUUGUCUAUAAUCAAUGAACAGUCUCAAGAUCCAUUUUCUUCCUCACCAACAAACUGGGGCUCCUCAAAAGUGUUGUACUAGGUUGAAUAAAACUUUUAUCAACCAAUUCCCUCAACUGAAUUUCCAAUUCCCUUAACUCAUCAUGAACCAAUCUCCAAUAUAAAUUUAUACCUGGCAACAAAUCAAUAGUGAACCUCAUAUCUCUGCCUGAAGGCAAUCCAGGUAUACUUUCAGGGAAGACAUCAAGAAAAGUCUAACUCUUUCGACAUUAUUCACACUACUCCAAACAACAUCAUUUAGCACCACAUGAGCUAAGUAUUUUUGACAGCCUUUCGAAAACAAUCUCUUUGCUCUCACAACAUAAAUAAUGGCUGAACUCAAUCCAUUUUGCAUACUUACAAAAGUAAUCUCUGUUCAUCCAGAUCGAUGGAAAGUACUGGUUUCCCAUAACAUUUCGUCUUGUCACAAUUAUAACCAACCAAUCUAAUGGAAAUAAUUUAACCGACACAAUACAUACUCUAUUACUACUAAGCAUUCUGAAUAAGUACAAAAUAAUCUACCGGUUUACUUACUUAACGAAUCCACGAAUGAGUUAUUAAUAUUACGGUCUGCAGCCCGCAAUACUGAUAAAUCAUCGUUGUCUCGAUAAGUAGGCAACCACUCUCAAAGAUAUAACAUUACUAUUUUGUCACUCAAUGCAAAAUACAUACACUCAUCUCAACUACAUUUAUUUACUACUCUCAAGGUAAUAACAUACAUAAUAAGAAAUAUAUCAGCCGAAGUCAACUAGAAUGAUCAAUACGACUGAUUCAACUCUUAUCUCAAUAAUACGUCGGCCGGAUCCACUCCGCGUGGUCGGUACGGCCGAGCCUAUAACUCACAAAUUUCGCAUGUGUCAAUCGAAUCCACUUCUCGUGGCCUGUACGGCUGAACAUAUAACUCAUCAAAUUUCUCUGUACUCACAGUCAAUCCGACCAAACUACUAAGUUUAUAACUCUUCUGAAUCGACACUAUGAUAUCAUGGAAAAUUAUUGAGUACAACUGAUUCUAGGGACGAUUCACAAUUCUGUGUCCCCUCUGUUCACAUAAACACAUUCAUUAAUUUCACACUUCCCAAAGUGUUAAUUUUUGUACCUGCAGCACAAGGUACAUUUCCUUUACUCGAGACACCUUGUCUCAAAUAUCUGGGAUUACCAGUAUAUCCAUCACUUUUAUUCUGACCAGCGACAUUAAAACCUCAGCUGGAAAAAUUAACUCUAGCUUCACUUCUUUCGAAGCUCUGAAUCUUUCUAUAUCCUUGAUAUGACGAAUCAUUAACUUUAUCGUCUUCUUUUAAUUCCUAUUCUUUUCUUAUUCUUCUUUAUUCUCGUUGCUCAUGUUCUCAGAGUCCUCAAGAUUCAACAACAUCUAGCAUACUCCUGAUAAGAACUACAAUGGAUAGUGGUCACCCAAAAUACCACUUCCCUUUUGUCACCCAGCUUAAAACAACAUAACACCUCCACCAAAUUAACAACAAUAUCUGGAUGGAACGAGGCUAGUCUGAAAACUUUCUAUAAUAUCCCUCGAUCAUCACCUUCCUUGUCUCAUAUUUGUAAAUUCUUGUUUACUACCAUCGAUAAAUGCCGGAGGGAUAAACUUUUCCUUUAAACAAGUCCUUAAACAAUUCUCAAUCGACUGAUUCCUCUGGUGACAACAAUUCAUACUCCUGUUUCCACCAGGAUACAAAUUCAUAACCAAAACCAGGUAGUCGUCUCGACCCCCUGUCAGAAGGAAAUUUCCUUUGACUUGCAUAAUCUGAAACAUCUUUUCCAAAUGGUUAAACCGUUACUUCGCUCUCUCAGGUUCAUCAUUUCAUAAGGUGAUUCAAGUUCAACUCAUUACCCAUCUUAAAAUGUCCCUUUAGACAAUAGACUGAAUCACCAUAGUAAUAGUUUCCCCCUAAACCGCUAAAUCAGGGAGACUAAGUUCCUCUAACUACGUGGCUUGCUACGAGGCGGUGUAGUUCUGACAGAAUUCACUAGAACUUCUCAAGAUGUCCAAGAUUGCAACCAUGCUCUGAUACCAACUGACACACCCCGUCCCGAAGGAGGGCAUGCUGGCCGUCACGUGAGAGUGACGUAACCAUUUGCACAGUACGGAAGCUUUAAGAUACAAUUUAUAAGUUGAUACACCCGAAGGUGAGUCCUAAUUUUGUCCAAUCUGUCAGAACACCGUCGAAUUCCUCGUAGUCACCACACCUUUGUGAUUCCUGAACCUGGAGGGGCGCAAAACCAAAAUUGAGUGGGUCAGUAAAACAAUUCUUUUUCCAAAUCCAAACAUUUCUCAAAACGUUGUAACCCCUCUCCGUAAAACCUGUAUACUUUCCCAGAAAUGUAAAAUAUAAAUAUACAUAUAUAUUCUCAAGACUUCAAGUCGUUAACUCAACAUUUUCAUAACAAUUAUGCCAUGCCACACAUCAUCUCAACAGUAAUAAGGUAUGAAUGCAUCAACAUAAUCAUAUCAGGUGCAAGAAAGUAAUCAACCGUAGGCCCUCUAAUAGCCCUGUACGGUUGAACCUAGAGCUCAAAAUCUAUCAUUAUCACUCUACCGGAGUCACCUCUGUGACCCGUCCGGCCUUCUGCACACAAGUUACGCUCUAGUGCUUCUCAUAAAUCAUCUGUGCACAUAAUCUAAGGUCACCCACCAGUCGGAAUCUCACUAACACUCUCGCGACUGGUCUGUCGUACCCACUCCGCGUGGACUGUACGACUAGCAUCUACUUGGAUCCAAGGCGAGCGUGCGAUGCGGUGAAUACUAUAAGCACUAAACCAUGGUGCAGGAUUUGAGCUCAAUAUAUAUCAUCAUCAUCAUAACAGUAAUUAAAUACUCAUCUGUGCGUCCACCGCACCAUUUCAUACAUAUGCAUCAUAAAUCAAUUCUUACCUGUGCGUCCACCGCACCAAUUCAUACAUAUGCAUCAUAAAUCAAUUCUUACCUGUGCGUCCACCGCACCAAUUCAUACAUAUGCAUCAUAAAUCAAUUCUUACAUGUGCGUCCACCGCACCAAUUCAUACAUAUGCAUCAUAUAUUAAUUCAUGCAUGGCAUUUCAACUCACAUUUCUAUAUACUUUUCAUAUCAAUUCUAUGCAUGGUAUUUCACUUCCCGUUUUUCCACAUAACUCAUAUGCAUUUCAUUUUAAACAUAUUUUCAUUUCAAUUCAAUUUCUGGGAAACGUCAAGUAUAUAUAUAUACGGAAAACAAAACUGCCCACUCACCUGGAGUUCGUCCAACAACUCCCUAGCACCACACAUCAAGGCGUCAUGACGAUCGCCGCCUAGAAUAGUAAUCAAAUCCAGGCUCAGAAUUCAUAUCGAUAGAAUACAUAACUUAUAUAAAAUACGUCACUACGUUGAUCGAUCCGGAAGAUCUGCCACUCAGAUUUUUAAAUCCAUAACUUCCAGAGGUCCACAUUAUACCUCUAGGACAACAUCCUAAAAUUUCAUUACCAUCCAACGGUCGGAUCUCCGUCAAUUUCCAAAACUAAGUGACGGUUAACAUUUUAUAUUAUGGACUUACAAUUCCAAUUCCGGAAGAUCCGUAACUCGGAUUCCCAAUCCGUAAGUUCCAAUAAUCCUCAAAUAUUACGUAUUACAACGUAUCAAAUUUUGGUGACGAUCCAACGGUCGGAUCAUCAAUUCACAUUUUCACCUAAAUGUGAAAACUAUAAAACGUUAUUUGAACACCUAACCAACAAUCCUCAAUAACUUUCUCAUACGGUGUUCAAUUUAGGUAUAUGAAUAUACCACAGUGAUCUACUCGACGUCACGGACGUCGACAUAUUUUUAAAAAUAAUUUUAUUUUUAUUUUUUAUUUUUACUGUAGCACCUUCUUCUUCCUUGGGUCGCCGGACUGGUUUUUCCGGCGGCCGUUUUCCGGGCAGUUUUUUCAAAUUGCCAUAACUUUGUCAUUUCUCAACGAAAUCAAGUGAUUCAAAAACGAAAGUUGUAGCCCUUGAAGAGAAAAAGAGAAUGGUACCUUGCACAACACCUAGUUCGCCGUGGUUUGGCCGGAAACUUCCUCGAAAGCCUCGGAGGUCGCCGGAAACUGGGUAUUUUUCAAAUGAGUAUAACUUCUUCAAUACUCAACGAAAUUGAGUGAAACAAAAAGGAAAGUUGUAGUACUUGACGAGACGAAGAGAUUGAUACCUACCUCGACUCCUAACUCGCCGGGUAUUCGCCGGAAAACGCCUCGAAAGCUCCGGCCAAACUUUGAACUUGUCGAUCUCCGUGUUCUUACGUCCAAAAACUUCCAACGAAGCACUCCGAGCUUCCUUGGGACCUUACUAAACUCGCUGUGAUCUUGUUUUAGCCUAAAACGUAACCAAUUCAAAGCUCAUGAACAGUGUCAUCUCACGGCAACUUUAGAACUAGGGUUUUCGAAGUGAAACUCACCUGAAAUUGGUAUCCCCGUGCUCGUGAAGUCCCCAGGAUCACGAUGGUGGUCUUAAAUGGAACGUUGGUACAAGAUUGUGGUGGUUCUUGGUGGUUGCCGUGAGUUCGAGAGUAAGAGAGAGAAUGAGAGAGUUUUCAGAAAAGAAUAAGAGAGAGAGAGAGUCUGGAAUGAAAGAAGAAGAGAGAAGAAAGGUUACGGGUUUUAGGGAGGGAAUUCAGGGUAGGAGGCCCUACCUAAGUCCAAGCACAAAUUAACACAUACAAAUAUAAAUCUAACCCUAGUUUAGGAUCUUAAAGUAAAACAAAUGUCAUACAUUUACACACCUUAAUCCCGUUUAAGGUCACAUUGGUCAUCUCACGUCCUCGGAAUUAAUAAUUCCGGGACGGGCUGUGACA